AUAAACUGGCCCUUCCUCUGCGAUCUCCCGAGCUUUGAUUACACAUCUCCAGAACUGUGUGGCCACUGCAAUAAAUGAAGUAGAUGCCCCCGUUCGCUCUUUCAAACCUAUAAUUUUCUCUCCUGUAAAACAAAUGGUUGAUUCGCAUGAACUUGUAAAUCUGCGCCCCGUUAAUCCCUUGAUGAGCUUCGUAAGAUAUUCCUACCGUUGUCUCGUGUUCUGGUUUGAACAUUGUCCUAAUGUGGAGCGGGGGUUUUGAAAUAGGUCAUUGAAAGGUAUAUCCAUUGACGCUUCCACAAAUUCCACUCCGCCAUCGUUGCAGUCAAUCUCUGGUCGGCCUGAUAUUUCACCAAUGACUAGCUGUCCUGCAAAUGGAUAGAAAUGAACCAGAACCGAAGAG
Molecule: long non-coding RNA, 400 nt
Organism: Cryptomeria japonica (Japanese cedar)
Lineage: Eukaryota; Viridiplantae; Streptophyta; Pinopsida; Cupressales; Cupressaceae
Exons: 3
Source: RefSeq, a predicted model, not a curated record